UGGGUCUCUGCAUUCAGCUGAUUUCUGUAACUGAGGGCCUGUCAUCUGUACCAAUGUGUCUUUUAAGUGCCUACAGAGAGCUUUGACUGCUGUUCUAGGUGUAAAGGAACCCUGGAGUUUCCCCAUCAAAGAACGAGUUCUAUUUGCAGGUUAAUUUCU
This is a long non-coding RNA of Corapipo altera (White-ruffed manakin), 159 nucleotides long. RefSeq lists it as uncharacterized. Lineage: Eukaryota; Metazoa; Chordata; Aves; Passeriformes; Pipridae. The record is from RefSeq and is a predicted model, not a curated record. The transcript is spliced from 3 exons.